This 439-nucleotide long non-coding RNA is filed under the name Homo sapiens (human). RNAcentral describes it as "HSALNT0399668". The record is from RNAcentral. Lineage: Eukaryota; Metazoa; Chordata; Mammalia; Primates; Hominidae.
CAGGCUUCUGGAGCUAGGAAGAUAUUUAGAUCACUCCACUCACGUACAUCAUAUUUACGAAAGGAAAAGGAAGUUUCACAUUCGCAAAGUGAGGAUGGCAACUGUUCUUACCAGUAAGGGUUUGGUGACUGAAUACAAGGAAGCCUGGAGAAAAGUGCCUGUCACCGAAAAGAGCUCAGGACAGUCAUAGUGGACAUGUCAGUGCCCCGUGCAGGUCCUUGGGGACCUAAGGUCUUGGGUUAAGAAGCAACUGAGGCUGAUCUACAAAGACUCCAAGGCCCAAGCUAUGGAGGCUGGACAGAAUCUGGGGUCAUGAAUCCACAUGCAAUCAACAGCCUUCUGCUGACGGGAACACCCAAAUUGGACUCUUAGGUGAGUAAGCAAUAACAUUCUAUUUUGACAAGCCAUGGAAAUAUAUUCGUUUCUGUUGCUAGAGUUA